Molecule: transfer RNA, 85 nt
Filed under: Clostridium sp. AF27-2AA
Lineage: Bacteria; Bacillati; Bacillota; Clostridia; Eubacteriales; Clostridiaceae
Description: tRNA-Ser
Rfam family: tRNA
About the family: Transfer RNA (tRNA) molecules are approximately 80 nucleotides in length.
Source: RNAcentral
GCAGUGGUCCCAUAAUGGUAUUGGAGCAGAUUGCUAAUCUGUCAGUCGUUAAUUCGGCUUACGGGUUCAAAUCCCGUCCACUGCG